AUACUUACCUGGCAGGGGAGACACCUUGAUCAUGAAGGAGGUUUUCUCAGGGUGAGGCUCAUCCAUUGCACUGCGGGUGUGCUGACCCCUGCGAUUUCCCCAAAUGCGGGAAACUCGACUGCAUAAUUUGUGGUAGUGGGGGACUGCGUUCGCGCUUUCCCCUG
Molecule: small nuclear RNA, 164 nt
Filed under: Podarcis lilfordi (Lilford's wall lizard)
Lineage: Eukaryota; Metazoa; Chordata; Lepidosauria; Squamata; Lacertidae
Description: U1 spliceosomal RNA
Rfam family: U1 spliceosomal RNA
About the family: U1 is a small nuclear RNA (snRNA) component of the spliceosome (involved in pre-mRNA splicing).
Source: Rfam by way of RNAcentral